CAGUCGCCACGGUAAUACGAAGGUCCCGAGCGUUGUUCGGAAUCACUGGGCGUAAAGGGAGCGUAGGCGGCGUGGUAAGUCAGAUGUGAAAUCCCGGGGCUCAACCCCGGAACUGCAUCCGAUACUGCCGUGCUAGAGGAUUGGAGAGGUAGCUGGAAUUCUUGGUGUAGCAGUGAAAUGCGUGGAGAUCAAGAGGAACACUCGUGGCGAAAGCGAGCUACUGGACAAUAUCUGACGCUGAGGCUCGAAGGCCAGGGUAGCGAAAGGGAUUAGAUACCCGAGUAGUCCCUGUCUCUUAUAC
Molecule: ribosomal RNA, 301 nt
Filed under: uncultured bacterium
Lineage: Bacteria
Description: partial 16S ribosomal RNA
Rfam family: Bacterial small subunit ribosomal RNA
Source: RNAcentral